RNAcentral lists this ribosomal RNA (506 nucleotides) under uncultured bacterium. Its description in RNAcentral is "partial 16S ribosomal RNA". It matches the Rfam family "Bacterial small subunit ribosomal RNA", at positions 29 to 523 of the family's 1533-position model. The record is from RNAcentral.
AGUGAACGCUGGCGGUAGGCCUAACACAUGCAAGUCGAACGGCAGCACAGAGGAGCUUGCUCCUUGGGUGGCGAGUGGCGGACGGGUGAGGAAUACAUCGGAAUCUACUUUUUCGUGGGGGAUAACGUAGGGAAACUUACGCUAAUACCGCAUACGACCUACGGGUGAAAGCAGGGGACCUUCGGGCCUUGCGCGAUUGAAUGAGCCGAUGUCGGAUUAGCUAGUUGGCGGGGUAAAGGCCCACCAAGGCGACGAUCCGUAGCUGGUCUGAGAGGAUGAUCAGCCACACUGGAACUGAGACACGGUCCAGACUCCUACGGGAGGCAGCAGUGGGGAAUAUUGGACAAUGGGCGCAAGCCUGAUCCAGCCAUACCGCGUGGGUGAAGAAGGCCUUCGGGUUGUAAAGCCCUUUUGUUGGGAAAGAAAUCCAGCCGGCUAAUACCUGGCUGGGAUGACGGUACCCAAAGAAUAAGCACCGGCUAACUUCGUGCCAGCCGCCGCGGUAA